RNAcentral lists this small nuclear RNA (209 nucleotides) under Crocodylus porosus (Australian saltwater crocodile). RNAcentral's name for it is "U2 spliceosomal RNA (ENSCPRG00005007738.1)". It matches the Rfam family "U2 spliceosomal RNA", at positions 51 to 192 of the family's 192-position model. Rfam says of the family: U2 is a small nuclear RNA (snRNA) component of the spliceosome (involved in pre-mRNA splicing). The record is from RNAcentral. Lineage: Eukaryota; Metazoa; Chordata; Crocodylia; Crocodylidae.
AGUGCUCCCCGUGCCAGAAGGACGAGCACAAUUCAGUGCCCGUCGUGGCUCGCAGGGGCAGGGUGGUGUAAUUGUCUCUGAUAUGUCCUCCAUCGGAGGUCUAUAUUGAGCAGAUUCUUUUUGGUGUUGGGUGGUGGAACCGGAGCGUGCUCCAUCCACUCCAUGCAUUGACCUGGUAUUGCAGUGCUUCCAGGACCGGUGCAAAAAAA